Molecule: ribosomal RNA, 253 nt
Filed under: uncultured bacterium
Lineage: Bacteria
Description: partial 16S ribosomal RNA
Rfam family: Bacterial small subunit ribosomal RNA
Source: RNAcentral
UACGUAGGUGGCGAGCGUUAUCCGGAUUUAUUGGGUUUAAAGGGUGCGUAGGCGGUUUUGUAAGUCAGUGGUGAAAGACUGCCGCUUAACGGUAGCAUUGCCAUUGAUACUGCAAGGCUAGAGUACAGUAGAGGUAGGCGGAAUUUAUGGUGUAGCGGUGAAAUGCAUAGAUACCAUAAAGAACACCGAUUGCGAAGGCAGCUUACUGGACUGUAACUGACGCUGAGGCACGAAAGUGUGGGAAUCAAACAGG